This 207-nucleotide ribosomal RNA is filed under the name uncultured bacterium. Its description in RNAcentral is "partial 16S ribosomal RNA". It matches the Rfam family "Bacterial small subunit ribosomal RNA", at positions 568 to 774 of the family's 1533-position model. The record is from RNAcentral.
CUCGUAGGUGGUUUGUCGCGUUGUUCGUGAAAUCUCACGGCUUAACUGUGAGCGUGCGGGCGAUACGGGCAGACUAGAGUACUGCAGGGGAGACUGGAAUUCCCAGUGUAGCGGUGAAAUGCGUAGAUAUUGGGAGGAAUACCAGUGGCGAAGGCGGCUCCCUGGACCGGUACUGACGCUGAGGCGCGAAAGCGUGGGUAGCAAACA